AGGAUAGAGGCCUACCAUGGUGGUAACGGGUAACGGGGUGUUAGGGCACGACACCGGAGAGGGAGCCUGAGAAACGGCUACCACAUCCAAGGAUGGCAGCAGGCGCGCAAAUUACCCAAUCCCGACACGGGGAGGUAGUGACAAUAAAUAACAAUACGGGGUCCUUUCGGGUUUCGUAAUUGGAAUGAGUACAAUUUAAAUCUCUUAACGAGGAACAAUUGGAGGGCAAGUCUGGUGCCAGCAGCCGCGGUAAUUCCAGCUCCAAUAGCGUAUAUUAAAGUUGUUGCAGUUAAAAAGCUCGUAGUUGAAUUUCGGGAUCAGUACGCUGGUCGUGCCUUCGGUAUGCACUGGUGUCACUGGUUCCUCCCUUCUGAAGAACUGUCAUGCCAUUCAGUUGGUGUGGCGGGGAAUCAGGACUGUUACUUUGAAAAAAUUAGAGUGUUUAAAGCAGGCUCGCGCUUGAAUACAUUAGCAUGGAAUAAUGAAAUAGGACGUUUGAUCCUAUUUUGUUGGUUUCUAGGAUCGGCGUAAUGAUUAAUAGGGAUAGUUGGGGGCAUUAGUAUUCAAUUGUCAGAGGUGAAAUUCUUGGAUUUAUUGAAGACUAACUACUGCGAAAGCAUUUGCCAAGGAUGUUUUCAUUAAUCAAGAACGAAAGUUAGGGGAUCGAAGACGAUCAGAUACCGUCGUAGUCUUAACCAUAAACUAUGCCGACUAGGGAUCGGAUGAUGUUAAUUUUUUAAUGACUCAUUCGGCGCCUACGGGAAACCAAAGUGUUUGGGUUC
Molecule: ribosomal RNA, 782 nt
Filed under: uncultured Glomus
Lineage: Eukaryota; Fungi; Glomeromycota; Glomeromycetes; Glomerales; Glomeraceae
Description: SSU rRNA
Rfam family: Eukaryotic small subunit ribosomal RNA
Source: RNAcentral